CACUGCCAGGGACGGCGACUGCACCACCUCCCUGUGCAGCCACUGCAGUCAGCACGGCUUUCAGUGCUUAUCCCAGUGCCCUGCCGUGAUGCCAGCAAUCACUGUACUACUGAAAUACACCUAUGUAGCACCAAUCCUUUUCUGUUUGCAGUACUGCCGCCUUUAUGUCCUCUUCAAAAUAGAUUUUGGUUUAACUAUGUGAUAAAACUGAGAACUCAUGAUUCAUUGCCCAUCCAAUGUAAUCAAUCCUUUAAUUUCUGCUUUCCAGGACACAGCCAUUAGCCAGUAACCACAAACUGCUCUGUGGGACUCUCAUGGAAACAACAGCCCUCCUGGAUGACAAUUAUCCAUUGUUACAUACAGCAAGAGAUUUUAAACCAAAAGUUUAUGAAUUACUGCCCAGUGUUUAUCCAGCUCUUCAUGCACUACUGCCAAAUGCUUUAUAAAAAUCCCUUAUCCAUUUCUGAGGUGCCAAAAUUCCUUUUUUUCACACACUCUACCUUGGAGAUACAAAAUUUGAUCUUUUCACCACUCUACUGAUGGAGAAUUGAGACACACAUUUGAGGAGCAAACAAUAUAACAGUCAGAUUUUGAAGGUCUUUAAGUCACUGAAGAAACUAUGAAACAGACCAUGUUUAAUUACUGCAUUUGGAGAGAAGCACAGGGCAGAGUCCUUCUAUCUAGUGCACAGAGGGAGCUUGGAGAUGCUUAGGGCUGUAGGUUAAAGUGGCUAGAGGAACAUGCAUCAGGACCUUAAAGAGAGCCAGAAGCUUCCCUAAUCGUAAGCUACAGAAUCCAAUAUUGCUCAUUUGUCUUUGAAAAACCCAACACUAGACAAUACGUGAGUCUGAGCUGUUGAGAGAAAGCAAACUGAGAAGAUGUGAUAAGGUCUUUGAAUAACACCAGCAUAAGUGGAAUGCAGCAUAAAAUGAUGUAAUUGCAGUAUCAGAGUUUCGUGGGUGUUCAUUCAUGAAAUGCCAAGUGCAUCGCUGAAUUACAGGGACUCUAAUGGAGCUGAGGAGCGCUUCCCACCAAGGAGAUGGAUGCCAGGGUGGGGGUCAGUAUCACUUGAUCUGAAGUAGAAAAGCAUCUUCCUGCAAGACUUCAUUGCAGGCAUUUUCCAGACAGCUCAGGUAUUUUUAAAGAAAGACAUGACCAUAGCUCUGCCUAAAUCAAGCUUCUGUCCUUCAACACAGAAUUGACAACAUAACUUCAUGAAGUUGUGAUCUAUUAGAAAGGAGAUUUUAAAAGACCACAGUACUGCAAGGAAUAAAACAGGAUUUUGCCACAUUAUCCUAGAUCAGCAGAUGAGUCCAGUCGUCGUCUCUUGCAGUAUUUGAGAGCAACAAGACAAAUAGAGCUUUUUCCCAGAUGGAAGCUGAUAGAGAAACUGUGAUGCAGCUGAUAACCUUCAGCACACAUCCAGGUGAUCAGAACAGCAAGAAAGAUAAGGGAAAAUGCUUCGCUGUUCAGCCCAUGUCAAAGCCCCAACAUCUUUGGUCCACCUUGAACUGAAGGCAGACUCUGACGCUGGGCACAGUGCAGCCUCCUGUGGGAGGACAGCACCACUCAGUGAACCUUCGGGGGAUUCUGGCGUCCCACUCCUCCAUGCUGAGCAGCCUGGCUGCUCGCUCCGGAGCACUCCCUGUUUCUCAUCGGGGUUCUCUGCCGUCAUCUCUGAGGUCAGGAAGAAAGACCACGCCUCGCCUGCUCCUAAACAAAAGACUAUAGAUAGCUGUGGCAGCAAAUGCUUCUCAUUAUGUACUCCUCUCUCCUCAGACUGCCUGCCCAGUUGGGGGUGGGAGCAGCAUGGGGCCCUGAGAUGCCUGUGCUGCUCUGCUGUGUGUUUUCUGUUAUGUGGGGUGAGGAGUGCAUUCCUCACAGGCUUUGAAUGUCUGCAAAACCCCAGAGGAAUCCUCGGAGCAGUGGGAGGAGAGAUCGGGCACGGAGAAGUUACCCAUGCACAUCGGGAUAAGGCGUCCCC
This is a long non-coding RNA of Lagopus leucura (white-tailed ptarmigan), 1984 nucleotides long. RefSeq lists it as uncharacterized. Lineage: Eukaryota; Metazoa; Chordata; Aves; Galliformes; Phasianidae. The record is from RefSeq and is a predicted model, not a curated record. The transcript is spliced from 4 exons.